UACGGGGGGGGCAAGCGUUGUUCGGAAUUACUGGGCGUAAAGGGCUCGUAGGUGGCCAACUAAGUCAGACGUGAAAUCCCCAGGCUCAACCUGGGAACUGCGUCUGAUACUGGAUGGCUUGAAUUCGGGAGAGGGAUGCAGAAUUCCAGGUGUAGCGGUGAAAUGCGUAGAUAUCUGGAGGAAUACCGGUGGCGAAGGCGGCAUCCUGGACCGAGAUUGACACUGAUGAGCGAAAGCUAGGGGAGCAAACGGG
This 253-nucleotide ribosomal RNA is filed under the name uncultured bacterium. Its description in RNAcentral is "partial 16S ribosomal RNA". It matches the Rfam family "Bacterial small subunit ribosomal RNA", at positions 524 to 776 of the family's 1533-position model. The record is from RNAcentral.